This 626-nucleotide long non-coding RNA is filed under the name Theobroma cacao (cacao). RNAcentral's name for it is "long non-coding RNA (TCAC_LNC002213)". The record is from RNAcentral. Lineage: Eukaryota; Viridiplantae; Streptophyta; Magnoliopsida; Malvales; Malvaceae.
GCGAUGUUGAUCACCGAGUUUAACGCAUGCGUGCCUGUGCUGCUGCCGAGGCUCUGUCCACACACUACUCCUUGAAAUAAAAGACUGGCUCUGUAGUAAGUGAGCCAUACAUCACUCUGUUUCUCUGGAUGCGGAAAAAUCAUGGUGCAAUUGGACUUUGGGAGCUUGUCUUUACCACCACUCUCUCUCUCUCUCUCUCCCUCUCUCUCUCUCUCUCUCACACACACACAGACACUAAAUUAUUUACUAUAUCUGAAAAACAUGUGUUAGAAACUUUAAUUUUUUGCGGUCCAAAUCCAUUGUAUGAUGUUAGUAUUUAAUUUCCAAUCUUUAAUUUAUUUUUUUGGUGACAGAGAAUGGGCAGAGGAAACGAAUGCCAGAGGGGGAAAGAGGAGAAAACAGGGGAAAAACGUUUUUAGGUGAAGAUAAGACAGGGCAGAUACCCAAGUGGCUACAGUUACUCGUCAGGUUGGGAUCAUGAAUGAACAUCCGACGUGGCAACUUUUAAGCCUACCACGUGCUUGUACAAAACAAAUGUGUUCCCCAAAUUAUUUGCAGAUCCGGAUCCAAAAUAAAUGCUGUUUUGAAGAUAUACGCCUUUUUUUUCGUUAAAAAAUGUUUACUCC